CCCUGCCCUACUUUUCCCACAGAAAACCCAAUGAAGGUUGUGGCCUUGGCCUUCUCUUGCUUCUUUUUGUCUCCUGGCUGACAGUGAUGCUUUCUGCGUGGCAUGCGGUGCCUCUUGUCUCUUGGAAGAUGGUCCACAAGAGGAAACUAAAUCUCCAAGAGGAAGACCUGGGCCCGGCGGAGUCUGCUCAUCCCCACCACUGCCAGAAGGUCAUCAAUGACAGCUGGUGACCCAGAAUAGCACUUCUUGCCAACAUAGGUCACCAAUACAGAUUGAGCAGGAACCUCAGCAUCACCAGGAGAAUGAAACAGAUGAUAAUGACUUUGCAAGGGCUCAGAAAAUUAAGCUGCCAUUGGAACUCAAGCCCACAGAAACAGGCCAGAACUUAUACCUCAACAAGGUGAUUGACGAAAUAUGAGAUUUCAUAGGAUCAAGAGCCUCCUAAUGUAAUGAACAAAAUGUCCAGGAUGCAAUUAAAAAAUCAUCUAUUACCAAGAACUAGGAAAAUUACAAUUUGAAUGAGAAAAGAAACGUAGGAGGUGCUAUUAGCAAGAUGAAGAGGAUGUCAAUUAUCUGACAAGGACUUUAUUUUGUUUUAUUUUUUUUUAAAGAUUGUAUUUCUUUAUAUGACAGAGAGAGAGGGAACACAAGGAAGGGAAGUGGGAGAGGGAGAAACAGGCUUCCUGCUGAGGAGGGAGCCCAAAUUGGAGCUCCAUUUCAGGACCCCAGGACCAUGACCUGAGCCGAAGGCAGGCACUUAAUGACUGAGCCAGCAGGUGCCCCAUCGGACAAGGAUUUUAAAGCUGCCAUCAUCAGAAUGCUUCAACAAUAAUUACAAAUUCUCUUGAAACAAAUGUAGAAAUAGAAGAUCUCAACAAAGGAAGAGAAGUUAAAAGAACCUAGUGGUAUUUAUAGAACUAAAAAAUACAGUAACUAAAAUAAAAACUUUAUUUGAUGGGUUUUCAAAAGUGGAGUGGACAUGACAGAGAAUAGAAUUGUGAACUUGAAGACAGGACAAUAGAACCUACUCAAGCUGCACAACAGAGAGAAAAAAGACAAAAUACAUAAAAGACAUAAUAAAGCAUGCAUCCACAAUAUGCAAAGAACACUUAAAACUCAACAAUAAGAAGAUAAACAACUUGAAUUAAAAAGUGGGCCAAAAAAUUUAGCAGACACCUCACUGAAGAAGAUAGAAAGAUGCCAAAUUAGCAUGUGAAAAGAGGCUCCACACCAUAAGUUCACAUUUAAUACAAAUU
This 1256-nucleotide long non-coding RNA is filed under the name Mustela putorius furo (domestic ferret). Its description in RNAcentral is "lncRNA (ENSMPUG00000031717.1)". The record is from RNAcentral. Lineage: Eukaryota; Metazoa; Chordata; Mammalia; Carnivora; Mustelidae.